CGGGGGGGGGCCUAUACAUGCAAGUCGAACGAGAUUAAGGGGCUUGCUCCUUAUGAAAGUGGCGCACGGGUGCGUAACGCGUAUGCAACCUACCUCAAUCAGGGGGAUAGCCCGAAGAAAUUCGGAUUAACACCGCAUAAAAACACAGGAUAGCAUUAUCUAAUGUUCAAAUAUUUAUAGGAUUGAGAUGGGCAUGCGUGUCAUUAGCUAGUUGGCGGGGUAACGGCCCACCAAGGCGACGAUGACUAGGGGAUCUGAGAGGAUGACCCCCCACACUGGUACUGAGACACGGACCAGACUCCUACGGGAGGCAGCAGUAAGGAAUAUUGGUCAAUGGAGGCAACUCUGAACCAGCCAUGCCGCGUGCAGGAAGACAGCCCUCUGGGUCGUAAACUGCUUUUAUUCGGGAAUAAACCUAUUUACGUGUAGAUAGCUGAAUGUACCGAAGGAAUAAGGAUCGGCUAACUCCGUGCCAGCAGCCGCGGUAAUACGGAGGAUCCAAGCGUUAUCCGGAUUUAUUGGGUUUAAAGGGUGCGUAGGCGGCUUAUUAAGUCAGGGGUGAAAGACGGUGGCUCAACCAUCGCAGUGCCUUUGAUACUGAUGAGCUUGAAUGAACUAGAGGUAGGCGGAAUGUGACAAGUAGCGGUGAAAUGCAUAGAUAUGUCACAGAACACCGAUUGCGAAGGCAGCUUACUAUGGUUUUAUUGACGCUGAGGCACGAAAGCGUGGGGAUCAAACAGGAUUAGAUACCCUGGUAGUCCACGCCCUAAACGAUGAAUACUCGCUGUUAGCGAUAUACAGUUAGCGGCUAAGCGAAAGCGUUAAGUAUUCCACCUGGGGAGUACGCCCGCAAGGGUGAAACUCAAAGGAAUUGACGGGGGCCCGCACAAGCGGAGGAGCAUGUGGUUUAAUUCGAUGAUACGCGAGGAACCUUACCCGGGCUUGAAAGUUAGUGAAUGAUCUAGAGAUAGAUCAGUGAGCAAUCACACGAAACUAGGUGCUGCAUGGCUGUCGUCAGCUCGUGCCGUGAGGUGUUGGGUUAAGUCCCGCAACGAGCGCAACCCCUAUGUUUAGUUUGCCAGCCCGUAAAGGGUGGGGGACU
Molecule: ribosomal RNA, 1102 nt
Filed under: bacterium
Lineage: Bacteria
Description: bacterial SSU rRNA
Rfam family: Bacterial small subunit ribosomal RNA
Source: RNAcentral